UUUCACCAAAUCAGAAACGGUGUCAUAUCCCCCAAUCCCUAAUCUAAUAAACCCCAUUCGUCUCUCUUCUCUGUUCUCUCUCGUCACUCUCUUCUCUGUUCUCUCGUCGCUCUCACCUCUCUCGCCGCCUUCCAUGCGCUCACUUCGCCGGUGGUAGAAGAAGACGGAACCAGCAUCUUGUCCCUCGGGUGGUGGUGGUCUUCGUCUUCUUGUUUCGGCCAUUAAUUCAAUUGGUCAGUUUUCUUCACCGUCGAUCCCAACACCAGUGUUGCUGUAAAGGGAGUAACUGCUGCUCAUUUUCUAAGUCAAGUUGCUGUAAAUGGAGAAGCAUCUUCCGGGUAUAAUUUUGCUUCCGGUG
Molecule: non-coding RNA, 358 nt
Organism: Arachis ipaensis
Lineage: Eukaryota; Viridiplantae; Streptophyta; Magnoliopsida; Fabales; Fabaceae
Source: RefSeq, a predicted model, not a curated record